RNAcentral lists this ribosomal RNA (446 nucleotides) under uncultured bacterium. RNAcentral's name for it is "partial 16S ribosomal RNA". It matches the Rfam family "Bacterial small subunit ribosomal RNA", at positions 338 to 795 of the family's 1533-position model. The record is from RNAcentral.
CCUACGGGUGGCAGCAGUCGAGAAUCAUUCACAAUGGGGGAAACCCUGAUGGUGCGACGCCGCGUGGGGGAAUGAAGGUCUUCGGAUUGUAAACCCCUGUCAUGUGGGAGCAAAUUAAAAAGAUAGUACCACAAGAGGAAGAGACGGCUAACUCGGUGCCAGCAGCCGCGGUAAUACAGAGGUCUCAAGCGUUGUUCGGAAUCACUGGGCGUAAAGCGUGCGUAGGCUGUUUCGUAAGUCGUGGGUGAAAGGCGCGGGCGCAACCCGCGGACGGCACAUGAUACUGGGAGACUAGAGUAAUGGAGGGGGAAGCGGAAUUCUCGGUGUAGCAGUGAAAUGCGUAGAUAUCGAGAGGAACACUCGUGGCGAAGGCGGGUUCCUGGACAUUAACUGACGCUGAGGCACGAAGGCCAGGGGAGCGAAAGGGAUUAGAUACCCGGGUAGUC